AUGAACCGUCAAAGAAAAUGGGCCUGUUUUUUGUGUUUCCAAUUGUUUGCAUUCUUGCUUGUGAAUUUGCCUCCAGUGGAUUAUCUGACAAUUCCCAGAGCUGCAAACCACUU
Arachis ipaensis is the source of this 113-nucleotide non-coding RNA. The record is from RefSeq and is a predicted model, not a curated record. Lineage: Eukaryota; Viridiplantae; Streptophyta; Magnoliopsida; Fabales; Fabaceae.